Molecule: ribosomal RNA, 177 nt
Filed under: uncultured Shewanella sp.
Lineage: Bacteria; Pseudomonadati; Pseudomonadota; Gammaproteobacteria; Alteromonadales; Shewanellaceae
Description: partial 16S ribosomal RNA
Rfam family: Bacterial small subunit ribosomal RNA
Source: RNAcentral
UGGGGAAUAUUGCACAAUGGGGGAAACCCUGAUGCAGCCAUGCCGCGUGUGUGAAGAAGGCCUUCGGGUUGUAAAGCACUUUCAGUAGGGAGGAAAGGGUGAGUCUUAAUACGGCUCAUCUGUGACGUUACCUACAGAAGAAGGACCGGCUAACUCCGUGCCAGCAGCCGCGGUAAU